AUACUUAUCUGGAUGGGCUAUAUGAGUGAUCAAGAAAGCUCAUAACCAAAGGUUAGCGGCCUCCAUUGCACAUAGGUAGAGUGCUAGCCUACCAUCUCUUCGUGUAGGAGAGUGGAUAUUAUAAUUUGUUGUAGAAGGGAAACGUGUUUGUGCGGUUCCUGC
This is a small nuclear RNA of Panicum hallii, 162 nucleotides long. RefSeq annotates it as U1 spliceosomal RNA. The transcript has a single exon. Lineage: Eukaryota; Viridiplantae; Streptophyta; Magnoliopsida; Poales; Poaceae. The record is from RefSeq and is a predicted model, not a curated record.